Molecule: transfer RNA, 69 nt
Filed under: Kribbella flavida DSM 17836
Lineage: Bacteria; Bacillati; Actinomycetota; Actinomycetes; Propionibacteriales; Kribbellaceae
Description: tRNA-Arg
Source: RNAcentral
CUCCCUGGUGACGGAUGCACGCCCGGCCCUCCGAAGGCCGGGUCCCUGGUUCGACUCCAGGCAGGGAGA